AGAAUCAACGCUGGCGGCGUGCCUAACACACGCAAGUCGAACGAGAAAGGGGAGCAAUCCCUGAGUAAAGUGGCGACCGGGUGAGUAACACGUGACUAACCUACCUUCGAGUGGGGGAUAACCUCGGGAAACCGAGGCUAAUACCGCAUAACAUCGUGAGAUCAAAGCAGUAAUGCGCUGGAAGAGGGGGUCGCGGCUGAUUAGCUAGUUGGCGGGGUAAUGGCCCACCAAGGCGAAGAUCGGUA
This 245-nucleotide ribosomal RNA is filed under the name uncultured bacterium. RNAcentral describes it as "partial small subunit ribosomal RNA". It matches the Rfam family "Bacterial small subunit ribosomal RNA", at positions 26 to 285 of the family's 1533-position model. The record is from RNAcentral.